This is a long non-coding RNA of Manis pentadactyla (Chinese pangolin), 1601 nucleotides long. RefSeq lists it as uncharacterized. NCBI's taxonomy places the organism in Eukaryota, Metazoa, Chordata, Mammalia, Pholidota, Manidae. The transcript has 3 exons. The record is from RefSeq and is a predicted model, not a curated record.
UCUAAGGUCCUGCAGAACAUCUCAAGGACACAUGUGUCAGGAGUUUGUGAGGGGGACUCAGGCCUGUGUCUGUUUGGUUUGCUUUCCUGUGGUUUGCAAGCUUCCAUUUUCUUUCAUCUCUAACCACCAGGUCCAGUCCCACAGUCUGGGUCACGAUUAAGGAACUGGGCUUCUCAUUGCUGAUACGAAGUCUGAAGGGCUUCAUCAGCAGGGGGCUACCUGUGAGGUCACAAAGGCUCUGAAACCAGCUUUCUAUGACUAUCUGAUCGAGUUGGGGAGACAACAGCCUCACAGUUCUACGGUAAGAGUUCCUAUUUACUGGGUUUACUUUGUGCCGGGCAUGGUUCUAAGGUGCUUUUCAUGUAUUUCUUUUAAUUGUCACAGAAACCCUGUGACUCAGGUCUGCAGUCUCUGUUUUACAGAUGAGGACAGAGAAUUGAAGUAACUAGUUGAAAGUUUCCUGUUUUGGUUGCGGUGGUACUGUUACCAGCCCCUCUUCUGAACUUGAGAUGGGUUGGUACGUCCUGACUUGUGAUCCCCUCUUGACUGCUGCCAAGGAUCUCUGCAUCUCCAAAGCCAAACUUCUGAUUUUGUUCUUCCAAACUAACAUCCUCCUGUGUUUCCCACCUUCGUGACCGGCAGUGCCAUCCAUCCAUGCUGAGCAGGCACAGUUGUGAUUGAGUCUACUUCUGACACCCCACCUCCUCUCACACUGCUGGGACCCUAGAAGGAAGCCAAGGGCAGCGCCUCAGAGGUUCGACCACGUUCUGUGACUCCAAGGGGCUCACACGCAAGACUAGAGCAGCUGUCCAGCAAAAGAUACAACCAUGUCAGAGCAACAGGGUGUUGUGACUAUGGAAGAGAGAGACCUGGGGAUCCUUGAAGAGACUCGUGUGCUGACCCUGGGGCAGUGUAAUCCCAUGAAGCAUAUGAUGGUGUCUAAAUGAGAGUGAACUCUACUGAGACAGUGUGACUUUGCAGGAAAGGUGGGCAUCUGUCUGGGAUGAGCGAGUGCGAGGGGGUGAGACUGCUCAUAUGUCUUCAUGAUUCUGAGCGUGUGACAGUUGGGAACUGGUCAUGCAGCUGUUCGCGUUGUGACGAGCAGGAGGAUGAAGAACUAUGUGUAACACGGUGAGUUGCAUGUCUGUGUGUUAAUCUGCGACUGGGUAUUGAACUGAAUCUGUGUGUGACUUUGCCUACAUGUGAGUGUGUAAGUGACUGGGGGGUCUUUGCAUGUACGGAUCCUGGUUGGAAGAACUGGUGGUCUUGGGGACUGUGAGUUACUCAUCUCUAAGUAUGCACGAGAGCAGAAUGAGAGUCUUUAGAUGCCUUUUCUCAAGAAAAGCAGGGAAAGAUAAACAGACUGUUGGGGCACUGGGUGUCCAGACAGGCUCCACACACAGUGACCACCCACUCCCGCCUCACCCAGUCUUUCCCAUUGUGCUCCAGGAAGGUGGUGUGCAUAUCCUGAACCGCGAGAGAAGGCGAUUUCAGAGAACUGAAUCACCCGAAGCUGGAAGAACAGUCAGCCUCAGUCCAGACAGAGCUUACAGUAGAUAUGAGUCAACAGCUUGUGGAUUGGCUCAGUUACUUUCCUGCUG